GGAUAAGUGGCGGAAUUGGUAAACGCUAGCCCAUUAGAGGGGCGAGAUUCACAUCUUGCAGGUUCGAAUCCUGUCUUAUUCA
RNAcentral lists this transfer RNA (82 nucleotides) under Caudoviricetes sp. Its description in RNAcentral is "tRNA-Leu". It matches the Rfam family "tRNA". From Rfam's summary of the family: Transfer RNA (tRNA) molecules are approximately 80 nucleotides in length. Their secondary structure includes four short double-helical elements and three loops (D, anti-codon, and T loops). The record is from RNAcentral. Lineage: Duplodnaviria; Heunggongvirae; Uroviricota; Caudoviricetes.